This 396-nucleotide long non-coding RNA is filed under the name Elaeis guineensis (African oil palm). RNAcentral describes it as "long non-coding RNA (EGUI_LNC057680)". The record is from RNAcentral. Lineage: Eukaryota; Viridiplantae; Streptophyta; Magnoliopsida; Arecales; Arecaceae.
CAAUUUCAAUCCUCCCACUGACUUCACUAAGUCAGAUUAAAAAAGAUUUAAUUAAAGCUGGCAUUAGGAGCACCUAAAUCAGUCAAACUGAUUUACUUAAUGACAUGGGUGAGCCCUAAUCACCAAGUGAUCUAAUCAAAACCUAACUCACCAGGUUGGCCAGGUAAGUGAGAUCAGUGGUGGGGAUAUGCCAUUAACUCGUCAGAGAUCUAAUCAAUGCGAGUAGCUCCCACUUAAGAACCACUGGUCAAACUGCCGAACUUACCUUAGACACCAAUCGAUUCAUUAGUUUUAAUUUGAUCAACUUAGUAAAUAGGGUUCCACCGCGUAUCCAUGAAUUAAGUCCAUCUUAGUCUAGUUAAAGACAUGGACCCAUUCAACUACAACUAUUGGAGU